UGGGGAAUUUUGGACAAUGGGCGAAAGCCUGAUCCAGCAAUGCCGCGUGUGUGAAGAAGGCCUUCGGGUUGUAAAGCACUUUUGUCCGGAAAGAAAUCCUUGGCUCUAAUACAGUCGGGGGAUGACGGUACCGGAAGAAUAAGCACCGGCUAACUACGUGCCAGCAGCCGCGGUAAUACGUAGGGUGCAAGCGUUAAUCGGAAUUACUGGGCGUAAAGCGUGCGCAGGCGGUUUGCUAAGACCGAUGUGAAAUCCCCGGGCUCAACCUGGGAACUGCAUUGGUGACUGGCAGGCUAGAGUAUGGCAGAGGGGGGUAGAAUUCCACGUGUAGCAGUGAAAUGCGUAGAGAUGUGGAGGAAUACCGAUGGCGAAGGCAGCCCCCCUGGGCCAAUACUGACGCUCAUGCACGAAAGCGUGGGGAGCAAACAGGAUUCAGAUACCCUGGUAGUCCCAGCGCCCUAAACGAUGCUACAACUAGUUGUUGGGGAUUGCAUUUCCUUAGUAACGUAGCUAACGCGUGAAGUUGACCGCCUGGGGAGUACGGUCGCAAGAUUAAAACUUAAAGGAAUUGACGGGGUCAUAGCUGUUUCCU
RNAcentral lists this ribosomal RNA (592 nucleotides) under uncultured bacterium. RNAcentral's name for it is "partial 16S ribosomal RNA". It matches the Rfam family "Bacterial small subunit ribosomal RNA", at positions 355 to 1375 of the family's 1533-position model. The record is from RNAcentral.